CCCAACGAUCCGGUCAGACGAGGAGCGGGACCAGUACCGAGCCGUGUUUAACGACCAGUACUCGGAGUACAAAGAGCUCCACUCGGAGGUUCAGGCCGCCCUCAAGAAGUUCGAGGAGAUGGACGUGAUGAUGCGCAGUCUGCCGCAGCACCCCUCCAGCCAGAUGGAGGUGGAUCGCAUCAACCGAAUCCUUCAGGAGUACCAGAGGAAGAGAAAUGACCCGACUUUCCUGGAGAAGAAGGAGCGCUGCGAGUACCUGAAGAGCAAACUGUCGCACAUCAAACAGAAGAUCCAGGAGUACGAUAAAGUGAUGGAGUGGAACGACGGAUACAGCUGAACGUCCGAGGUGCCCGAACACCACGAAACACGAACACGCGACCAUAACUGACGGCUGGAAAUGACGUUUUAACCGGAGCGCAGACGGGAGCCUGCUGUGUCUCUGAACUCUGAUUUUGAUUUUGCGUAUCUGUGUUGAUUUGAAGCCCACAUGUAGAACCAAAGUACUGGGAAGUUUUACACUGCAGGAAUAAUUUGACAUUUUGGGAAUAACGCUGGUUCGC
This is a non-coding RNA of Plectropomus leopardus (leopard coralgrouper), 560 nucleotides long. NCBI's taxonomy places the organism in Eukaryota, Metazoa, Chordata, Actinopteri, Perciformes, Serranidae. The record is from RefSeq and is a predicted model, not a curated record.